AUUUAAAUAGUUUAUACAAAAUAGUAAAUUGUGGAUUUACAGAAGAAGUAAUUUUUUAAAUA
Molecule: transfer RNA, 62 nt
Filed under: Hypoaspis linteyini
Lineage: Eukaryota; Metazoa; Arthropoda; Arachnida; Mesostigmata; Laelapidae
Description: tRNA-His
Source: RNAcentral